UACAGAGGUCCCGAGCGUUGUUCGGAUUCAUUGGGCGUAAAGGGUGCGUAGGCGGCGCGGUAAGUCGGGUGUGAAAUCUUGGAGCUUAACUCCGAAACUGCAUUCGAUACUGCCGUGCUUGAGGACUGGAGAGGAGACUGGAAUUUACGGUGUAGCGGUGAAAUGCGUAGAUAUCGUAAGGAAGACCAGUGGCGAAGGCGGGUCUCUGGACAGUUCCUGACGCUGAGGCACGAAGGCCAGGGGAGCAAACGGG
RNAcentral lists this ribosomal RNA (253 nucleotides) under uncultured bacterium. Its description in RNAcentral is "partial 16S ribosomal RNA". It matches the Rfam family "Bacterial small subunit ribosomal RNA", at positions 524 to 776 of the family's 1533-position model. The record is from RNAcentral.